RNAcentral lists this ribosomal RNA (253 nucleotides) under uncultured bacterium. RNAcentral's name for it is "partial 16S ribosomal RNA". It matches the Rfam family "Bacterial small subunit ribosomal RNA", at positions 524 to 776 of the family's 1533-position model. The record is from RNAcentral.
UACGGAGGGGGCUAGCGUUGUUCGGAAUUACUGGGCGUAAAGCGCACGUAGGCGGUUUCCUAAGUCAGAGGUGAAAGCCCGGGGCUCAACUCCGGAAUUGCCUUUGAAACUGGGUGACUUGAUCACGGGAGAGGUGAGUGGAAUUCCGAGUGUAGAGGUGAAAUUCGUAGAUAUUCGGAAGAACACCAGUGGCGAAGGCGGCUCACUGGACCGUUGAUGACGCUGAGGUGCGAAAGCGUGGGGAGCAAACAGG